GAUCCUGGCUCAGGAUGAACGCUAGCUACAGGCUUAACACAUGCAAGUCGAGGGGCAGCAUGGUCUUAGCUUGCUAAGGCUGAUGGCGACCGGCGCACGGGUGAGUAACACGUAUCCAACCUGCCGUCUACUCUUGGCCAGCCUUCUGAAAGGAAGAUUAAUCCAGGAUGGGAUCAUGAGUUCACAUGUCUGACAGUGUAAGUUAAAGGUUUACGUUUUACCGGUAGACGAGGU
RNAcentral lists this ribosomal RNA (234 nucleotides) under uncultured bacterium. RNAcentral describes it as "partial 16S ribosomal RNA". It matches the Rfam family "Bacterial small subunit ribosomal RNA", at positions 15 to 228 of the family's 1533-position model. The record is from RNAcentral.